UACGUAGGGUGCAGGCGUUAAUCGGAAUUACUGGGCGUAAAGGGCGCGUAGGCGGUCGUGACAAGUCACUUGUGAAAUCUCCGGGCUUAACUCGGAACGGUCAAGUGAUACUGUCGGACUAGAGUACAGAAGGGGCAACUGGAAUUCUCGGUGUAGCGGUGAAAUGCGUAGAUAUCGAGAGGAACACCUGCGGCGAAGGCGGGUUGCUGGGCUGAUACUGACGCUGAGGCGCGAAAGCCAGGGGAGCGAACGGG
RNAcentral lists this ribosomal RNA (254 nucleotides) under uncultured bacterium. RNAcentral's name for it is "partial 16S ribosomal RNA". It matches the Rfam family "Bacterial small subunit ribosomal RNA", at positions 524 to 776 of the family's 1533-position model. The record is from RNAcentral.